RNAcentral lists this ribosomal RNA (439 nucleotides) under uncultured bacterium. RNAcentral describes it as "bacterial SSU rRNA". It matches the Rfam family "Bacterial small subunit ribosomal RNA", at positions 340 to 773 of the family's 1533-position model. The record is from RNAcentral.
UACGGGAGGCAGCAGUGGGGAAUAUUGCACAAUGGGCGCAAGCCUGAUGCAGCCAUGCCGCGUGUAUGAAGAAGGCCUUCGGGUUGUAAAGUACUUUCAGUCGUGAGGAAGGUGUUAAGGUUAAUAACCUUAGCAAUUGACGUUAGCGACAGAAGAAGCACCGGCUAACUCCGUGCCAGCAGCCGCGGUAAUACGGAGGGUGCGAGCGUUAAUCGGAAUUACUGGGCGUAAAGGGCACGCAGGCGGUUAAUUAAGUUGGAUGUGAAAUCCCCGGGCUUAACCUGGGAAUGGCAUUCAAGACUGGUUAGCUAGAGUCUUGUAGAGGGGGUAAAAUUCCAUGUGUAGCGGUGAAAUGCGUAGAGAUGUGGAGGAAUACCGGUGGCGAAGGCGGCCCCUGGACAAAGACUGACGCUCAUGUGCGAAAGCGUGGGGAGCAAAC